GAGGGUAUAGCUCAGUGUUAGAGUGCUUGCCUACCAUGCACAAGGUCGUGGGUUCAAUCCCCAGUACUUCCU
Molecule: transfer RNA, 72 nt
Filed under: Camelus ferus (Wild Bactrian camel)
Lineage: Eukaryota; Metazoa; Chordata; Mammalia; Artiodactyla; Camelidae
Rfam family: tRNA
About the family: Transfer RNA (tRNA) molecules are approximately 80 nucleotides in length. Their secondary structure includes four short double-helical elements and three loops (D, anti-codon, and T loops).
Source: Rfam by way of RNAcentral